CCUACGGGUGGCAGCAGUGAGGAAUAUUGGUCAAUGGACGAGAGUCUGAACCAGCCAAGUAGCGUGAAGGAUGACUGCCCUAUGGGCUGCAAACUUCUUUUAUAAAGGAAUAAAACGAUUCACGUGUGCCUUUUUGCAUGUACUUUAUGAAUAAGGAUCGGCUAACUCCGUGCCAGCAGCCGCGGUAAUACGGAGGAUCCGAGCGUUAUCCGGAUUGAAUGGGUUUAAAGGGAGCGUAGAUGGGUUGUUAAGUCAGUUGUGAAAGUUUGCGGCUCAACCGUAAAAUUGCAAUUGAUACUGGCAGUCUUGAGUACAGUAGAGGUAGGCGGAAUUCGUGGUGUAGCGGUGAAAUGCUUAGAUAUCACGAAGAACCCCGAUGGCGAAGGCAGCUUACUGGACUGUAACUGACAUUGAGGCUCGAAAGUGUGGGUAUCAAACAGGAUUAGAUACCCCAGUAGUC
RNAcentral lists this ribosomal RNA (460 nucleotides) under uncultured bacterium. RNAcentral describes it as "partial 16S ribosomal RNA". It matches the Rfam family "Bacterial small subunit ribosomal RNA", at positions 338 to 795 of the family's 1533-position model. The record is from RNAcentral.